This 549-nucleotide ribosomal RNA is filed under the name Bifidobacterium animalis subsp. lactis. RNAcentral's name for it is "bacterial SSU rRNA". It matches the Rfam family "Bacterial small subunit ribosomal RNA", at positions 161 to 711 of the family's 1533-position model. The record is from RNAcentral. Lineage: Bacteria; Bacillati; Actinomycetota; Actinomycetes; Bifidobacteriales; Bifidobacteriaceae.
UGGUAAUACCGGAUGCUCCGCUCCAUCGCAUGGUGGGGUGGGAAAUGCUUUUGCGGCAUGGGAUGGGGUCGCGUCCUAUCAGCUUGUUGGCGGGGUGAUGGCCCACCAAGGCGUUGACGGGUAGCCGGCCUGAGAGGGUGACCGGCCACAUUGGGACUGAGAUACGGCCCAGACUCCUACGGGAGGCAGCAGUGGGGAAUAUUGCACAAUGGGCGCAAGCCUGAUGCAGCGACGCCGCGUGCGGGAUGGAGGCCUUCGGGUUGUAAACCGCUUUUGUUCAAGGGCAAGGCACGGUUUCGGCCGUGUUGAGUGGAUUGUUCGAAUAAGCACCGGCUAACUACGUGCCAGCAGCCGCGGUAAUACGUAGGGUGCGAGCGUUAUCCGGAUUUAUUGGGCGUAAAGGGCUCGUAGGCGGUUCGUCGCGUCCGGUGUGAAAGUCCAUCGCCUAACGGUGGAUCUGCGCCGGGUACGGGCGGGCUGGAGUGCGGUAGGGGAGACUGGAAUUCCCGGUGUAACGGUGGAAUGUGUAGAUAUCGGAAAAGAACACCA